AUGAUGAUGUCACUGACUCUACUGCUGGCCACCCUGGGGCUCCUUGUUCAGGGUUCGUCAGGACAAAUCAUCCUGACUCAUUCUCCUGGAUCUCAGUCUGUUGUUCCAGGACAGACUGUCUCCAUCAGAUGUAAAACCAGUUCAAGAGUUUAUAACGACCUCCAGUGGUACCUUCAGAAAUCUGGAGAAGCUCCUAAACUCCUGAUUUAUUAUACUACAAGCCUUCAGCCUGGAGUUUCAGAUCGUUUUAGUGGAAGUGGAUACGGCACUGACUUCACUCUGGCCAUCAGUGGAGUUCAGGCUGAAGAUUCAGGAGUUUAUUACUGUCAGCAGGAUAACAGCUGGCCACUCACACAGUGAU
Molecule: non-coding RNA, 361 nt
Organism: Thunnus maccoyii (southern bluefin tuna)
Lineage: Eukaryota; Metazoa; Chordata; Actinopteri; Scombriformes; Scombridae
Source: the annotation of a RefSeq genome assembly